Molecule: ribosomal RNA, 122 nt
Filed under: Periophthalmus magnuspinnatus
Lineage: Eukaryota; Metazoa; Chordata; Actinopteri; Gobiiformes; Gobiidae
Source: RNAcentral
UACUGGAGUCAUACCACCUUCUCAAUAAUGCCUCAUCUAGUUUGAUCUCAGAAGCUGCGAAGGGUCGGGCCUGGUUAGUACUUUGAUGGGAGAUUUGUUGGGAAUUCCAGGUUCCACAGUGG